GCUUCUCGAGAUAGCUUUCUCGAGAGGUACAGGAGCUUCCUCAGUGGUGUGCUUCUGUUGUGGUGGUUCUUGUGCUUUUGAUUUCUACAUUUGAGCUUCAUUUCCCUUUUUUAAAAGAUAACAUGUAGGUAUUAGUGCAGAAAAAAAGAUUAACAAUCUAUUUCUUUAGAACUUAAUUUUCUGUAGAGUCUUAUGAUCAUUGAUCCAAAGUAUGUUCCGAUUUCAAUCAUGUGGGAUUGAUCUUAACAACCUUUAACUUGAGGGUUAAAUUUAUAUGUAUUUAUACUACAAGGACUGCCUCGCAUAUGCGAACUGAUUAAAUCUUCAACUGUUGUUUUGGUGUAGCUGCGAUGUGACAUCUAUGUAUUACUAUCUGAAAAAUGAAUGUCCUUAGCAUAUCUAUAUGGGAAUUGGUUCUAGGCAAUCCAUCAAGAUUCAAUAUCUUAGUCUUAGGGCUUGUGCUUUACUAUGGUGGAAUCCUCUAGAAUCUAGUAUGGUGGAAUCCACUGGAAUCUAGGAUUGUGGAAUCCUCUUCUGUUUCUCACCUUGUGUUUCUUGAUUCUUUCACAAGAUUGCCCCAGAUUUUUACUGAUUCUUGUUCUUCUACCUUCGUGUGAAUCACAUACAUCUUUUCGGGUCUAGUACAGGACAUGUUUCAUGAUAUGUCCUUUAUGGGGAUAAUGGUGCAUGUGCCGUUUGCAAGUUUUCAAUUGGCUGGGAUUCUCUUGAUACAGAUACCUAUAUUCAUAUUGCACCUUCCUAUUAUCCCUUUUGAUUUCUUCUUUGACUAUUUCUUCAUGCUAGAAUGAAACAUCUUCCGUGCUGUUAAUCAAAUCAGUUCAACUCUAAUAAUUGUGCUCUAGGCAGAAUCAAGUCAUUGACUUGAUUAGAUGGUGACCAAUGUGCCGCUUUUUUCUCAUCAACAGGCUGUGACAGCAAUGGUGUAGCAGACUAUGCAAUAUAUUGACCAGACACCUGAUUUUGAGACAAUGAUAGAGCUUAUUGAGACACUGUACUCUAUUGCCCUGUGAUGGUUAGUAUGUGAAAAGAAACCCUAUUGCAGAUUAUGUUUAUGAGCAAUCUUUUUUUUUUUCCCCUUCCCCGUGGUUUCUAUAGCUAGUUUCGUUAUGCAGAUAUAUGUCAAAAUUGAGAGAGCACCGUCAAUUAAGAAGCUUGCAAAAGUAAAGGAAGAACAGGUUCUUAUAGCAGAAGCUAUUGACUUUAUGCAGGAAAUUGCAGUAACUAGAAGCUGACUACUGUUGUCCCUGAUCUUGUAAUUGAUUUUUCCUUGUCCAACAUUCCUAUGAUGGGUUUAAAUUGCAGGUAGAAACUUUUGAAGCAAUGGCAGAGACGGAGAAAGUUGCCUUUAUCCUUGAACAAGUAAAGGUUUUCUGUAUUGCUUUAAGCUGCUUAUGCACUAUUGCUAAGAUUGGUUUUCUAAUCGAUGGAUUUUGCAGGUUCUUUGUGCUUAGAUCACAGGGAUUAUGUCCAUGCACAGGUCCUUUCCAGAAAGAGAAGCUGUUGACUUUAUGCCGGAAAUUGCAGUAACUAGAAGCUGACUACUGUUGUCACUGAUCUUGUAAUUGAUUUUUCCUUGUCCAACAUUUCUAUGAUGGGUUUAAAUUGCAGGUAGAAACUUUUAUGUUGUGUCCACUAUCUUUUAACUAAAUUGUUUUCACCAAUCAAUUGCUACCUGGUAUUCAAGUUAGGGUUCAAACCAUGAACUUCUAUGGCUUUAUUUAGUUGGUACAUACUCUUCUUCCUUUCUAGCUUUACAGCAAACUCUGACGAUCAAGAUGUGCUUAAUGGAUCUAAACAUACAUCUCAGUUUACCUAGUGUUCAUGUUGUUAAUGAUGUAGGUAUUGCUCACAUCACAACAAUUACCUCAAGAUAUGUUGAUGCUAUAAGGCCACACGGUGAAGGGAAACCCAGAGCAAUUGAUACUGGUGAAGCUCUAUUGUUGUUGAGUCUUCACUGAGUGUUUUGAGGCACGGCUGUAGGUUCUAAGGAAAAUCUACUGGUACUUGGUUCUAUCACCACAUAAUCCUAUGUAGUCAAGCCUUCUUAAUGCCGCUUUAAGGAUCAAAAUCUCUCAUAUAUUACCCAAUUCAGGUACCAUUUUUGAAUUGUUCUGGGUAAUUGGUUGUACAUCUUGCAACAUCUCAAUAACGUGCCAUAGAAUUUGGUUGACCAUGCCUUUGUUACUUCAACGCAGGUUGCUUCUGAAACAAUUGGUCACACUAGAGGCUAUCCAAUGGACUGCUCUUUGGAGUACUUUUAAAGAUGAAUUUGAGAAUGAGAAAAACAUGCUCGGAGGUGCACUUGUUGAGAAGGCAGCAGAAGAUCUUAGACAGAGAAUCAUUAAACGUGUAAUUACAGAACUUUGUCAUUUGUGACUCACUCUAUUUUCUGCAGAAUAUUAUUGUUGUUUCAAAGUAUUACCCGAGGAUUAUUUUAAAUAGACUUCCAGAGCUGUGAUGCCUUAGUAUUUAGAUCUGAUUAUGGGGAACAUUGGUUUAUGUUUUCUUAUCAAUGUCAUCUUUAUGAAUGAUUUUCAAGACCCCACAUUUAACCCUGAGCAGCCUCUCUGCCUGUAAUCCCUGAUUGCGACAUGGUUGCCGGACUUGGAUACAAAUUCUAAAAUAGUGGAAACGAGGUUUAGGUACCUUGAAAGCCGAAGGCUUGUCAUACUAUUGAAAAUGUUGUCUUUGUAGUUUCGUUCCGUAAACAUUUCUGAUCGACAUAUACGUGUGCACUUGGCUUAGUCAACUUCUGCUCAUAAAAUUUUUAGCUGUGUGAUUGUCUGGUAUUGUGAAACCAUUUCUUGUCCCAUGGAGCCGAUGCCCUUUGGAAGGGUGGGAGGAGCUGUGCUAUAUUGCUAAAAUAGUUAAGCAAGUUUUUUCUGCUAGUAUUAGCACUCACCGUUUCUGGCAUAUAAAAGUAUGUCCCACUGUUGGAGCUUUCUUAAUGUGUUUAGAAAACCUACGUGGCUGAAUCACUCAGGGAGAAGAGCUCUCUUCUCGGGUUUCUAUUACUGCUGUUGUAGAGCAUUUUAAUCGUUCACAUGCCUCAAUUGAUAAAAUCAAUGCUAUCAUCUAAUAGAAAGAUCGCCCGACGUGUCGAAUUUUAGUAUUCGAGCGUUAGCAGACCUCAAGAGUUAACCGUGGGGGGGGUGUUGCAGAAGAGAACGACGGCUGGAUGCAACGCCCUCUCCAUCCGCUCCAGGUAAACACAUGCACGCGUCUCUCGAGCUUUCCUGUGGUCUCUCAGCUUCAGCUGCAUCUUAGAACCCCGGUCGGACCGCGUCACUCCGGUGCGCGAGCUCAUCAAUUGUUUGGAUUGGAGAUUUUAGUUUGCUCGUAGUAGGUAGCCCGAUAGUUUCGACAGCAAUUGGGUAGGCGGUUGAAGCAAAAAGUCGCGCUGGCUGCCAAGGUUCUGUCGAGAUUUGGUGAGUUGACCAAGGUCACGAGCUUAGGUUUGCUGUUUUUGAGCUGAGGCUAGCACGUACUGUUUAGUCAAAUUCCUGCAUUAGUGACGCUGUGAAAGCUCUAAAUCGGCCACGAGUAGAUGUGUGGGGGCGUGAUGCAGAUGAUCGAUCAAUCGCAUUUGAAGUUUAGAGUCGAUCCAUCUCAUGACGUAAAUUUGCAAUUGCAGAUAGUUGGGGUGGCGGUGUUCAGUUUCCUAGCAGUGGCCUUCUACAUCUUCCCAGGACUGUUGCUUGGGAGUAGAGCCGCUGAAAUCACUGUGAUGACAAUAGUCUCUUUUGUGGUAAUUCCCUUAGCGUUUACUUUGUGCCAUGAUGACAUUGAUUGCUUUUCUUUUGUCAGUUUUAGGGAAUUGAAUUAUAAGGGGAUUAUAAAUGAGAAUGAGGUGUUGCCCUCAUUCUGAAUUAGAUUGUAUGGAAGAUUUAAUCGGUGGUUGUGGCAAGGUAGAAUAUACUUUAUAUACAGACUUGGGGGAAUCCAUAAUAACCUUUUAUUGAUGGAGUUAAAAGUGGGCUCUACCUUCAUGAGAGCUUGGGUUGGGGUAGAUGGAAGGUCUACUGUGCCUCCACAAACAAUAGUGCAGCACAGUGCAGUACAAUGCCAACACCUUUGUACGACAGCCAUCUUUUCUGACUGGGGACAGAAUUCUCUUUUACAUCAUAGCAUAUAGCUCUUUACCUUUUCUAUAUUUUUAUCCUCCCGUCCUCUUCUUUUCACUGCCAUUGUCUGGUUUUGCGUUUGUUUUAUUCUCCUGUACUUUUGCCACAGAUGCUUCUCUAGUUAACUUUCUCUAAGAGGCAUGAGAGCUUCUUCAGCGAUGUGCUUUUGCUGUGGUGGUAUUAGUGCUUUUGUCUUCUACUUUUGAGCUUCAUUCCCUCCUUUUAAAGAUAACAUACACGUGUUAGUACAGAAUUAAGAAUUUGAGAAUCUAUCACUUUGCAUCUUAAUUUUCUGUAGUCUUAUGAUCAUUGAUUCAAAGUCCAAUUUCAAUCAAUUAGGAUCAAUCUUAACAACCUUUACCUUACGGGUUAGAUUUUAUACUGUAGGGAUUGGCUCCCAUAUGAGUACUGAUUAGAUCAUGAAAGGUCGUUUUUGUGUAGCUAUGACAUGCCACCUAUGUAAAACUAUCUAAAAACUGAAUGCGCUUGGUGUAUCUACAUAGGAAUUGGCUCUAGGCAAUCUGUUGGGAUGCAAGAUCUCAAGCCUGGUGCUUGUUCUCUAGAAACUAGUAUGGUGGAAUGCUCUAGAAUCUACUAUUGUGGAAUUGUCUUUAGUUUCUCACCUUGUGUUUCUGGAUUUUCUCCCAUGAUUGCCCCAAGUUUUUACUUUUUGUUCUCCUACUCAUGUAAUCUCAUUACUUUUUUUUCAUGUCCUGUUCAUGAUAUAUCCUUUAUGGGGAUCUUGUGGUGCUUGUGAUGUUUGCAAGUUUUCAAUUGGCUGGGAUCCUCUUCAUAGAGAUACCUGUAUUUGUAUUAUACCUUGCUAUUGUCCCUUUUGCUUCCUGUUUUUACCAUUAUUUCAUUCUAGACUGACAAAUUUUCCGUGUUGUAAGACCCUACUUAUAGCAGAAGCUACUGAUUUGAUGCAAAAAAUUUGAAUAACAAGAAGUUGACUUCAGUUAUCACUGAUCUUGUACUUGGUUUUUCCUUGUCCAACAUUCCUAUAAUGGGUUUGAAAUGCAGGUAGAAACUUUUGGAGCAACGGCAAAGACCUGGAAAAUUUCCUUUAUUUUUGAACAAGUACGAGUUUUUGUAUUGCUUUUAGCCAUUUAUGCACUAUUACUAUGAUUGGUUUUCUGAUUGAUGGAUUUUGCAGGUUUGUCUAUGCAUAGAUUGCCAGGAUUAUGUCUGUGCACACAUCCUUUCUAGGAAGAUCAGGCCCCAAGUGAUCAAUGCAGAUCCUUCCAAAGAGAAGAAUAAGCCUAAAGAAAGCGCCAGCUGAUAUUCCGUCUCUUCUGGAGUUGAAACAAUUAUACUACGACUCAUGACACGGUAAACUUGUGUUUCACUUUUUCUAAUGUUGUAUCUACUAUCUUUUAACUAAUUUGUUUUUGUCGAUCAAGUGGCACCUGGUAUUCUGGACCAUGAACUUGUAUGGCUUUAUAUAUCUAGCACAUACUCUUCUUCCUUUCUAACUUUAUUGCAAACUCUGACUUCCAGAUUUACUUGAUGGAUUUGAACUCGCAUCUCGAUAUAUCUCGCAUUUAUGUGGUUAACGAUAUCGGUAUAAAUGAUUACCUUGAGAUUUGUUGAUACUGUAAGGCGAUAUAUGAGAUUCCAUUAGUGAAGGGCAACCCAGAGCAGUGGAUAUCGGUGAAGCUCUUUCCUUGUUAAAUCUUUACUGAGUUUUUCAAGGCACAAUUGUUCAUUCUGUGAUUUAAUGAAAUGCAGGUUCUAAGGAAAAUCUGCUCGUACUUAGUUCUAUCACCACAUGAUCCUGUACAAUUAAGCCUUCUUAAUGCCACUUUAGAAAAUAAACAUCUCUCAGAAAUUCCCAUUUCAUCUUUGAAUUGUUUUAGGUUAUUGGUUGUACAUCUUGUAAUAUCUCAAUAAUGUGCCAUAGAAUUUGGUUGACCAUGCCUUUGUUAUUUUAACACAGGUUGCUGCUGAAACAAUUGGUCAUGGUGGAGGUUAUCCAAUGGACACCUCUUUAAAGUACUUUCAAAGAUGAAUUUGAGAAUGAGAAAAUGUGCUAGGAGGUGCACUUGUUGAGAAGGUAGCAGAAAAUCUUAGACAGGGCCCAAUCAUAGUCAAAAGAAGAAUUUCUGCUUCUCCUGGGUGAGACAAGCUACCUUUGGCUAGGGGCCUCAUCAGAGAAUCAUUGAACAUGUAAUUACAGAACUCGUUGUUUUUCUUCUUUUAAUUGGAUCAUCACUGAGAUGUGACUCACUCUAUUUUGUGCAGAAUAUUAUUGUCAUUUUGAAGUAUUGCUGGAGGAUUACCUUAAAGAGACUUGCAGAGCUGUUAUGCCUCAGUAUCCAGGUCUGAUUAUGUGGAACAAUUGUUUAUGUUCAUUAUCCAUGUCACUCUUUAUGAAUGAUUGCCUAGACCCCUCAUUUAACCCCGAGCAGCCUCUCUCCCAUGAUCCCUAAUUGGGGCAUGGCUGCUGAUCUUGGAUACAAGUUCCAAAUGUGUAAAGAGGUUUUGGUGCGUUGAAAGCCAAAGGCUUGUCAUGGAUUUGAGAGUGUUGUCUUCAUAAUUUUGUUUUGUACACUUGGCUUAGUCAACUUCUUGUUGUAGUUGUGUCAUUUUCUAGCAUUAUGAAGCCAUUUCUUGUGCCAUGGAGCCUGAAAUUCUAAUGCACUUUAUAAGGGUGGGAGGAGCUCUGUUAUAUUGCUAGAAAUAGCUAAGCUAGCUUUUUCUGCUAGUAUUAACACUCACCAUACCAUUUCCUGCGUUACAAAAGUAUAUCUCGCUGGAGAUCUUGAUUAAUGUGUUUAGGAAAUCUUUGAAGUUAAAUCACUCUAGGAAAAGAGCUUUGUUUUUGGGUUCUCUUACUACUGUUGUUGAGAGCUUUAAUCAAUCACAUGCCUCAAUUUAUUAAAUCAACGCUAUCAUCUAAUAGAGAGACCAUAUAAUGAUAAUUAUUCAAGCUUUUGUGAUAUUCUAUCAGCAUGACCUCUUACUUCUAUAUUACCAUUUUAGGAAGCUGAGAAGCAUCUCUCCUUGAUGGUUGUUUCCAAGUCCCUAAUGGCAAAGAUAGACUGGCCAAAGGGAAUUGUUAGUUUCAAAAUGACAAAGGACAGCAAUGAGAUUUUAAACUUAGAGGAGACAAUUUUGGAAAAGCUGCUUCUUUUUGUUAAGAAAAGUUGCCACCAAAUCCCAAAGGAAACUGCAGUUCAUAAGGCUGCCUCAAGAGCUUGAAGAUGUUUUCAUUUGAAUGAAUGAUCUCUCCUCAAUGAAUGCUGUUUCACAUUGUGGUCCAAAGUGUGGACGGGAGAUAUUCAUCAUUGAACUCUCACAUGGCUGUCUUAAACUUGAUUGCAUAUUUUGCAAGAUGACCAGAUCUUGGCUUUGUUUCGGAUAUACUUAAUACGCUUUCAAAAUAGGAAUGUAGUUUGGUUUUUUCAACUUUCCUCUUUCCCCCAUCAUUUUAAUUGAAGAUUUAUGGGCUCAGGUCCGAAACUUAUAUCAAUGGAACAGGUAUUAGCACAAGAUGUGCACUCAUUUGGACUGAAAUAAGUGCCUCGUUACUAAAUUCUGUUUCGCAUUACAAAUGUUGCUAGUGCUUGUGUUUUUCUAACAUCGUGAAUAACAUUAGCUCUCCCUAGUAAAGGCUUAACGAAUGGUACUUUUUCCAUUUUAUUUCACAUUUGAAAUGAGCACCCUGUUUCUAGAGAACUUCAUUCCGAUAAGAUAACUGCACAUUUUAUCUCUUCGAGAGACGUUUUUUUUCUUCAAGUUGAUACUUGAUAGAAGAUGGAGCUUGUUUUUUAGAUUUCCAGCUCCCUUAUUUUCUUCAUGGAAACUGAAAAAUUUGGGAAAAGCUAUGGCCAUGAUAUCUUUUGGCUAUGAAAAUAGUUGUGCCCCAUAAGUGAAAAGCACCAUUUUACUUUCUUCACCAAGUAAACGUAUUUAUUAUUUUGUUAGAGAAUGUGAUUAUAGAAAUUACUUAGCAUAAUUUAAAGAAAAUUCAUGAUUUUUACUAUAGUAACUUUUCUUGUUAUAUGUGCCGUUAAUGGAUUGGAAAUUACAUAAAUCAUCAUAGAUACACUUAAAAGUUAUUCUUGAGGUCCUCAUUAACACGAUCAAUCAUUUAGGAGAAAUAAAAAAAAUUUCUUCAAAAUUUGAUCCUCAGUUUAAAGCAGCCUGGAACUUGUUUUACUACCUCUAGUUAA
Molecule: long non-coding RNA, 8323 nt
Filed under: Eucalyptus grandis
Lineage: Eukaryota; Viridiplantae; Streptophyta; Magnoliopsida; Myrtales; Myrtaceae
Description: long non-coding RNA (EGRA_LNC001442)
Source: RNAcentral